RNAcentral lists this ribosomal RNA (465 nucleotides) under Vreelandella stevensii. Its description in RNAcentral is "partial 16S ribosomal RNA". It matches the Rfam family "Bacterial small subunit ribosomal RNA", at positions 338 to 795 of the family's 1533-position model. Lineage: Bacteria; Pseudomonadati; Pseudomonadota; Gammaproteobacteria; Oceanospirillales; Halomonadaceae. The record is from RNAcentral.
CCUACGGGUGGCAGCAGUGGGGAAUAUUGGACAAUGGGGGGAACCCUGAUCCAGCCAUGCCGCGUGUGUGAAGAAGGCCCUCGGGUUGUAAAGCACUUUCAGUGAGGAAGAACGCCUGGUGGUUAAUACCCAUCAGGAAAGACAUCACUCACAGAAGAAGCACCGGCUAACUCCGUGCCAGCAGCCGCGGUAAUACGGAGGGUGCGAGCGUUAAUCGGAAUUACUGGGCGUAAAGCGCGCGUAGGUGGCUUGAUAAGCCGGUUGUGAAAGCCCCGGGCUCAACCUGGGAACGGCAUCCGGAACUGUCGAGCUAGAGUGCAGGAGAGGAAGGUAGAAUUCCCGGUGUAGCGGUGAAAUGCGUAGAGAUCGGGAGGAAUACCAGUGGCGAAGGCGGCCUUCUGGACUGACACUGACACUGAGGUGCGAAAGCGUGGGUAGCAAACAGGAUUAGAUACCCUGGUAGUC